CACGCUGUAAACGUUGUAUACUAGGUGUUAGUGGUUUAACCAUUAGUGCCGACGUUAACGCAUUAAGUAUACCGCCUGGGGAGUACGCCCGCAAGGGUGAAACUCAAAGGAAUUGACGGGGGCCCGCACAAGCGGUGGAGCAUGUGGUUUAAUUCGAUGCAACGCGAAGAACCUUACCAGCCCUUGACAUCCUGGGAACUUUGUAGAGAUACAUUGGUGCCUUCGGGAAUCCAGUGACAGGUGCUGCAUGGCUGUCGUCAGCUCGUGUCGUGAGAUGUUGGGUUAAGUCCCGCAACGAGCGCAACCCUUGUCCUUAGUUGCCAGCACGUAAUGGUGGGAACUCUAAGGAGACUGCUGGUGACAAACCG
RNAcentral lists this ribosomal RNA (368 nucleotides) under uncultured bacterium. Its description in RNAcentral is "bacterial SSU rRNA". It matches the Rfam family "Bacterial small subunit ribosomal RNA", at positions 796 to 1165 of the family's 1533-position model. The record is from RNAcentral.